This is a small nuclear RNA of Oryctolagus cuniculus (rabbit), 165 nucleotides long. Its record names the gene U2. It matches the Rfam family "U2 spliceosomal RNA". From Rfam's summary of the family: U2 is a small nuclear RNA (snRNA) component of the spliceosome (involved in pre-mRNA splicing). Lineage: Eukaryota; Metazoa; Chordata; Mammalia; Lagomorpha; Leporidae. The record is from Ensembl.
AUCGCUUCUCAGCCUUUUGGCUAAGAUCAAGUGUAGUUCCUGUUCUUCCGUAGCUAACUGAUACCUUUCACUAUCAAAUGGUUUAAUAACUAUAUACAUAUGCAUAAAUAAAUAUGCACAUAAUAAUUGUAAAUAUGUAGAACCUUCAUUCAAAUUAUAGCCAAU